UGCCGACUUAGCUCAGUUGGCUAGAGCACCUGUCUUGUAAACAGGGGGUCGGAAGUUCGAGUCUUCUAGUCGGCAU
This 76-nucleotide transfer RNA is filed under the name Philodulcilactobacillus myokonensis. RNAcentral describes it as "tRNA-Thr". It matches the Rfam family "tRNA". From Rfam's summary of the family: Transfer RNA (tRNA) molecules are approximately 80 nucleotides in length. Their secondary structure includes four short double-helical elements and three loops (D, anti-codon, and T loops). Lineage: Bacteria; Bacillati; Bacillota; Bacilli; Lactobacillales; Lactobacillaceae. The record is from RNAcentral.